AAUACAUCAAUAAAGAGUUUAAGAUGUCAAAGGUUCAUCAAAUAUACCCACCGGGCUCCGACUAAACUAUGAAAAUCCGAUGUUGUAUCAGGUCAAAUGACCUAGCUAGAGGUGUCAGAAAAUAACG
RNAcentral lists this small RNA (127 nucleotides) under Arabidopsis thaliana (thale cress). RNAcentral describes it as "ATSL026490". Lineage: Eukaryota; Viridiplantae; Streptophyta; Magnoliopsida; Brassicales; Brassicaceae. The record is from RNAcentral.